UCUCUGAUAGCUCAGCCAGUAGAGCAUGAGACUCAUGCUCAAGGUUGUGGGUUCAAGCCCCAUGUCGGGUAA
This is a non-coding RNA of Podarcis lilfordi (Lilford's wall lizard), 72 nucleotides long. The record is from the annotation of a GenBank genome assembly. NCBI's taxonomy places the organism in Eukaryota, Metazoa, Chordata, Lepidosauria, Squamata, Lacertidae.